Molecule: ribosomal RNA, 253 nt
Filed under: uncultured bacterium
Lineage: Bacteria
Description: partial 16S ribosomal RNA
Rfam family: Bacterial small subunit ribosomal RNA
Source: RNAcentral
UACGUAGGGGGCAAGCGUUGUCCGGAAUCAUUGGGCGUAAAGCGCGUGUAGGCGGUUUCGUAAGUCUGCUGUGAAAGUCGGAGGCUCAACCUUCGAAAGCCGGUGGAUACUGUGAGACUUGAGUACGGAAGAGGAGAGUGGAAUUCCUGGUGUAGCGGUGAAAUGCGCAGAUAUCAGGAGGAACACCGGUGGCGAAGGCGGGUCUCUGGGCCGAUACUGACGCUGAGGAGCGAAAGCGUGGGGAGCGAACAGG